RNAcentral lists this ribosomal RNA (257 nucleotides) under uncultured bacterium. Its description in RNAcentral is "partial 16S ribosomal RNA". It matches the Rfam family "Bacterial small subunit ribosomal RNA", at positions 76 to 334 of the family's 1533-position model. The record is from RNAcentral.
UUGCUUUCUUUGCUGGCGGCCGGCGCACGGGUGAGUAACACGUAUCCAACCUGCCCUUUACUCGGGGAUAGCCUUUCGAAAGAAAGAUUAAUACCCGAUAGCAUAAUGAUUCCGCAUGGUUUCAUUAUUAAAGGAUUCCGGUAAAGGAUGGGGAUGCGUUCCAUUAGGUUGUUGGUGGGGUAACGGCCCACCAAGCCUUCGAUGGAUAGGGGUUCUGAGAGGAAGGUCCCCCACAUUGGAACUGAGACACGGUCCAA